RNAcentral lists this long non-coding RNA (266 nucleotides) under dengue virus type 2. Its description in RNAcentral is "Dengue virus type 2 partial sfRNA2". The stretch from base 170 to 241 matches the Rfam family "Flavivirus DB element". The record is from RNAcentral. Lineage: Riboviria; Orthornavirae; Kitrinoviricota; Flasuviricetes; Amarillovirales; Flaviviridae.
AAGAAGUCAGGCCACUACAAGUGCCAUAGCUUGAGCAAACUAUGCAGCCUGUAGCUCCACCUGGGAAGGUGUAAAAAAUCUGGGAGGCCACAAACCAUGGAAGCUGUACGCAUGGCGUAGUGGACUAGCGGUUAGAGGAGACCCCUCCCUUGCAAGUCGCAGCAACAAUGGGGGCCCAAGGUGGGAUGAAGCUGUAAUCUCACUGGAAGGACUAGAGGUUAGAGGAGACCCCCCCGAAAUAAAAAACAGCAUAUUGACGCUGGGAA